CGUGAUAACGUCUUUAAAAUCGUUUUAUUGGGUUACUGUUCAGACACUGUGUCACGAGCGAGGUCGAUCGCAGGUAUACCCCCCUCUCGUUAUAACGAGAGAGAGACGGACCGAUCUCCCGUCUCAUCUCGAGCGCUGCCAGUCAUUCCGACCCCCCUCUCGUUAUAACCAGAGAGAGACGGACCGAUCUCCCGUCUCAUCUCGAGCGCUGCCAGUCAUUCCGUGCCAGUCAUAGCGUUCGAGUGAGUUGACCGAUCUUCCGUCUCUCUCACUCUAGCGGCAUACAAACGAAUGGAGAUUUUCUCGUGCGGUUAAGUUUACGUUGAAUGUUUUAUCGGCCGAUAAAAAGUUUGUAGUGUGCGGGGAGCCUAACAGUAAAACAAAAUGUGAAGUGCAAGUGAAGUGUUACAACAAUUGCAACAAACAAAACUUAUAUCACCAAUAAGACGUUAUCACGUAAACAUCUCGAUCGUAAACCUACUUUACAAACAACCAUUUUUUUUUAGCAUAAUUUUGCUUUCUUUGAAAUAUUGCUUUGAGACUACUGCUUAUUUGUCCCUUGGGAUCUCCCUUGACACGUUCUUCAUUUAACAUUGCUUCGUCAAAAGAGAAGAGAAGGUAUGGUAAUAAAGGCAGAUUUGAAGCCUGGAAAAUAGGUGUCUUGGAGCGUUGCGAAGGAAUUGAGAGCAGAAAACCGUCCCAAAUGUAAAGAUUAAUUGUAUUAAAUUGAAUAGUAGGAAAUAAAUUGAAUACGUUUCGCCACGUGA
Dalotia coriaria is the source of this 767-nucleotide long non-coding RNA. RefSeq lists it as uncharacterized. NCBI's taxonomy places the organism in Eukaryota, Metazoa, Arthropoda, Insecta, Coleoptera, Staphylinidae. The transcript has 2 exons. The record is from RefSeq and is a predicted model, not a curated record.